This 460-nucleotide ribosomal RNA is filed under the name uncultured bacterium. Its description in RNAcentral is "partial 16S ribosomal RNA". It matches the Rfam family "Bacterial small subunit ribosomal RNA", at positions 338 to 795 of the family's 1533-position model. The record is from RNAcentral.
CCUACGGGAGGCAGCAGUGAGGAAUAUUGGUCAAUGGACGAGAGUCUGAACCAGCCAAGCAGCGUGAAGGAAGACGGCUCUAUGGGUUGUAAACUUCUUUUAUAUGGGAGUAAAUUACAAAACGUGUACCACGUUGUAAGUAUCCUACGAAUAAGGAUCGGCUAACUCCGUGCCAGCAGCCGCGGUAAUACGGAGGAUUCAAGCGUUAUCCGGAUUUAUUGGGUUUAAAGGGCGCGUAGGUGGUUUGAUAAGUCAGGGGUGAAAGUCCGGGGCUCAACUGCAGCACUGCAGCUGAAACUGGCAGUCUAGAGUUCAGUAGCGGUAGGCGGAAUGCAUGGUGUAGCAGUGAAAUGCUUAGAGAUCAUGCAGAACACCGAUUGCGAAGGCAGCUUACUGGACUUCAACUGACGCUGAGGCACGAAAGCGUGGGGAGCAAACAGGAUUAGAUACCCCAGUAGUC